UCAAACUCUCUCCAGCGCCGUCAUAAACCAUAAGUGGUCAAAUACGAGAUCUAUAGAAAUCCAUACCAGGAUCAAGCGAAAAACCUUAUUUCUAGCUAAAAGAUUUCAGUUUACCUGCUUCGUCUUAUUCUUCUCCAUCUUUGGCCAAUAGUAUUGGCAUAUCAUGUCUAGAAGGGGAAACUAAGCGCUUCAUACACUAAACAAAUCUAAGAGGAGUAAAGAAGAGAAAGAUGUGGAUAAUGGACGAAAGAUUGGAUGGAUAAUUUAGAUGACAUAACUAAAAUUGGUUUGGGCGGGCUCGGGAAUGAUGGCACUUUUUGGAAUCACACUUACUAAUUUCCAAGGUCUUGACGGCAGAGAUAAGUGCGAUGCCGGGCCAGAGACGGUGAAGAAGAUCUUGAAAACUGGAGGUGUGUCCCUAAUGCUUCUUACUGCUUCUUCAUUUGCUGCUAUAUGCACAAAAAGUGUUGAAAAAUCUUUCGAGAAUACGAAGGACAAAUUGAAGAAGAAGAUUUUGAGGUUUGGAUAAAGCAUGUGCAUCGUCCCAAUGGAUUAACUCUCCUGUCUGGUUUACGAAGCCCUUAGAAUUUCAUUUUUCAUUCAUUCCCCAAAACUCAAAACACUUUGAUUUUGUUCAGUGCGAAACCUAAAAACUUCAACAAAAAACAUUUUAUCCUCCAUGGUUCUGUUUUUGACAUCACGGCAGAAAUAAAUUUCUGUUUCCAAAUCAUCAACAUCAGCAGGAUUUGGUGGUAAAGAUGUUCUAGUUAGGAAGAUUGUCCUGGAUAAUCAUAUUGCUUCGUCACAUUUUGAUAUACAAGGAAAGGAUUCAGUGUCAAAGCCAUAGACUCGCAGUUCAGGUUCCUAUAGCUGUUGGAUUGGAUAUAUCACAUGUUAGUUGUUGGUAUACUCAAAGUGGUGAUGUGAGUCCAUCUCUCAUUGUCAGACUGAUCCCUCAGCGACAGACGGCAGUGCCCUGUUGGAAGGCUAAUGCAACAGGGAGAAACUACAACUCUACGCAUGACAUUUUGGAGAAAACCUACAAAAGAAAUUUUUGGACGACAAACAGUGAAGCUUGCGCUUUGUGCGUUUCUUGAGGUACAGUAUGGAUUGCAUUUAUGGACCUGUCAGUAUUUAAGAACCAGUCUUGUCUCCCAUGAUCAGGAACAAUGAUAUAGAUAUAUCUUGGAAUUUAAGUCUUUUGCAUAAGGAUUUUGGUGGUUUUAGGGGUCCCUAUUUGGAUCGAAUAAUAUGAACGUAUGAAGGAAUUUUCUUAAGUUUCUGAAUACGUUGUUCAAAUUGUUUUGCUGCAGUGUUGUACAUUAGAGAAGUGGAAAGAUUAAUGUUCGAGUUUGUUACCAUUCUUGUUGUUGGUCUAAGGAACCGAAUUAUGGAAUUCAAGGUUCUGGAAGAACCUUUUAAAGUGGAUCCCAAUUUUUGACCUUGUAAUAGAUGAUCGUAAUUGCUUUGCUUUUCAGUCUCACAUUAUGGCCCAUCCAACUGUUUGGUCAGUAUUGUUGUUGAAAGUCCUCACUUUCUCGGAUCUGUCUCUUAAAAGGAAUGUCUUUAAAUACUGUUCUUGAAAUUCUGGUAAAAAUCGAUGUCAGAAUUUUCCUAUCUAGCAAACUGAUAUUGUUAAUUUUAAAACAGUGUAUGAUACUCGCGUAACAUGUCCCCAAGUUAGUAACAUACGGAAGUAAUCCAUUUGAUGCAGUAUAGCACCCUGAAAUUUCAUUAUUUAUUGGUUUGUCCUGGUUUCACAAGGUAGCCAAAUGGUUUAAGUGGUACUGAUAAGAGGCAGAAGUCAUGUACAGCACCCUGGAAUAUCAUUAUUUAAUGGUUUGUCCUGGUUUCACAAGGUAGCCAAGUGGUUUAAGUGGUAGUGAUAAGAGGCAGAAGUCAUGGUAUUUACUUCACCCCUAUCACUUGAUGUUCACUAUAGAUCGAUAUUUGUAUAUUUGCAUUCAAAGAAAAAGGUUUUUCCACCUUAUUUAACUUAUCAAUAACAACGCGAGUAUCUGUCCUUGCACUUGAAGAAGCAAAAGAGCCUUCGUUGAGCAUUCCAUAGUCAUAUAUUUUUGGUGUCUAGUAUUAUUUAUAUAACCUCAGGAUUUAAGAAAUCAAGGUUAUGGGUUUUCUCCAAUUCCAUUUAGGUAACUCUACUCAAUACAAGGCUUGAUCUUGGUUUCCUGUUUAGAUUCUGGUGCAAUUUCUGAUGAGAAGCUCUUUAUGGAUGGAUAUUUUUUUCAAGUUCUGUUGGAUAUCAAUUUUCCAUUUAACUCACCUUUAAUUGUACGGUGUAUGCUUUGAAGUUCUUAAAUUUUGUGGUUGCAUGAAUCAAAAUGCAUUUUUUCCUUUUGUGUGACCACUUCUCAUUGUGUGACUGAUUCCUCAGCUACUGAUGAUAGUGCCAGCUUGGAUGGCUAAUGCAACAGGGGGAAACUCCAACUCCAUGCAUGAAUUUUUGGAGAAAACCUACAAAAAACUUUUGGACAAGAAACUGUGAAGCUUGCUAUUUGUGCAUUACUCGAGGUCCUGUUGCUGAAGACAUGUACGGUAUACCAUUGGCAAGUAGCAAUAUGGGUCCUCCAGACAGUCCGUAAGCAGGAGGAGGCUUUUUAGUUGUGAUUCACUUUUCUCCAGAUUCCAUUUAAACCACCAAAGUACCGUGUACAAGGUGUUGGAAAAACCUGACAAAAUCGGCGGGCUGUGAAGCUUAUUUCUGUCGUUACCUUUUUAACUGGGAAAGAUUAGGACUAGUACACUGAUGUGAAAGAGAAACUCUUGGAAGCUGCUUGUAAUUCUCCUGCAUUAGCCCUUAGGUUCCGAGUUCAAUUCAACAAAUGGGCCAUCAUAGUUCGACUGCUGUUGCCAGAGAGAACUGUCCUCAUGCAGAAAGGCAUGAAAACGGUAUUGAGGCCAUACUUUGAGCUUACAAAUGUGACUCUUCAAACUUGCACUAAAUGAGGCUUCUCGUAUAGGGAUGUUGCGGAUAAGUUUGCAAGUAUUGCCAGCUCAGACAGGACUCCCAAUCUGAUUGUGAUGUUGCGACAUAUUGUCAUCCGGACAGGGCUUUGCAAUAUAAGCAUCUCUUAUCCUCGCAUUUCACUUGUUCACGUUGCUCACAAGCUGAGGUUAGACUCAACGAACCCUGUGUGGUGCCGAGAGCAUUGCAGCCAAGGCAAUCCGAGAUUGUGCCAUCGAUGCAACUUUGGACCCUACAAACGGGUGGAGGAUGGUACCUAAGGAGACUGGAAAUACUCCCUCUGUAAAUGAACCUAAUCUGCUUUCAUCUCGAGGACUGCCUUCUGCCUCAACAUGCAUAAUGAAGCUUGGCGCCUUGGGAUUCUCUCCAAAAGAAAAGAGAGGUGAGAGACGACAACAGAAGGAGCUUGUGAAGCAUAUUGCCGUGGUCUGUGGAUGAUGACAAUGAGUUCUAACUGUCGCCUUCCAGCAUUUGUCAAGCUGUUACUAUGACAGUACCAUUCCUUAUAUUUAUAAAAACUGAUCUUGGUGGGUUUUAAAAGAAAAUGAAAACGACAAGCAUGUUUGCCGAAAUGGUUUUUGUUAAAGAAAUUUACAAGAAUAUUUAUAUCAUAAUCAUUUUCAAAUUUUACCAGGUCUUAAAA
Molecule: long non-coding RNA, 3629 nt
Organism: Papaver somniferum (opium poppy)
Lineage: Eukaryota; Viridiplantae; Streptophyta; Magnoliopsida; Ranunculales; Papaveraceae
Exons: 9
Source: RefSeq, a predicted model, not a curated record